Molecule: ribosomal RNA, 40 nt
Filed under: uncultured organism
Description: partial 16S ribosomal RNA
Source: RNAcentral
AACCUUUGACAUGGUGGUCGCGGAUAGCGGAGACACAUUC